Molecule: ribosomal RNA, 556 nt
Filed under: Ilanga laevissima
Lineage: Eukaryota; Metazoa; Mollusca; Gastropoda; Trochida; Solariellidae
Description: partial 16S ribosomal RNA
Rfam family: Bacterial large subunit ribosomal RNA
Source: RNAcentral
CGCUCUUUGUAUAAAUAAAUUUAAGAUGGAGAGUCGGACCUGCCCAGUGACAUACGUGUUAAACGGCCGCGGUACUCUGACCGUGCAAAGGUAGCAUAAUCAUUUGCCUUUUAAUUGGAGGCUUGUAUGAAUGGUUUAACGAGAACUAAGCUGUCUCCUUUUAAUUAUUUAGAAAUUAACUUAUAGGUGAAGAGGCCUACAUGUGUUUGAGGGACAAGAAGACCCUUUUGAGUUUUAGUAAAAUUAGAAAUAAUUUUGUUUUAAUUGUUGUAAUUAAAAUAUAAUACUAUGUGAUGGCAUAGGUUAAUUUUUUAGUUAAUCUUUAGUUGGGGCGACUAAGGAGUAGAGUAAGCUUCCUUUAAACAUAUAAUUAUGAUUGGCUGGUUAUUUUGAUCCAGUGUUUACUGAUUAAAGGAAAAAAUUACCAUAGGGAUAACAGCGUAAUCUUUUUGGAGAGUUCUUAUCGAAGGAAAGGUUUGCGACCUCGAUGUUGGACUAAGAUAUCCCAGGGGUGUAGAAGCUGCUGAGGGUUGGUCUGUUCGACCAUUAAAAUCUU